Pimephales promelas (fathead minnow) is the source of this 368-nucleotide non-coding RNA. The record is from RefSeq and is a predicted model, not a curated record. Lineage: Eukaryota; Metazoa; Chordata; Actinopteri; Cypriniformes; Leuciscidae.
CUAAUGAAUAAUUACCAGCAGCUGCCAUCGUUACAGCAACAUCACAGUCCAUUUGGAGUCAUUCGGCUAAAACUGAUAAAAACCUGAUAUUGAAUUUCACAUAAGAUGCUAGAAGGUCGCUAGACAUGUUAUGUAAAUAUUUUAUUCAAAUUUGAUUAUGAUGAGAUAACAGUGGACUUAUGGGAAUGAUGGACAGAUAACUUCUCUAUAAACAUCUCAACACACACUAUCUUGUUCAGUCAGUCGCGUCGGGUGAGAUUCACUGUUUGUCAGAUUAUAUAUACGGGAAAUAUCGGACUUCCAAAACUAUCAAUGGAUUCCUCUCUUCAUAAAGGUUUCAAAAGAGGACUAACUAUCAUCUUUGUAAU